UAAGGGGUCAUCCAAGUCGGGUUCUGUUCUACCUGCAAUAUUGUGUUAGUUUUAUUAAAAGCAGGUAUAUGGACAUGUUGUAUGUACACUUCAUCGGGAAGCUGUUCCAAUUCUUCUUUGGAUAAUCGGCUAAGCAGAUCUGCUUCCUCAUUUUCCUCUCGGGAUAUUCUUUGAAAUCUGAUGGUUAUUCCUCGACUUGCGAGCUCGGCUUCUAAAGUUUUUACUUUAGCCAGGUAAUUCUGCAUAAUGGGAUCUCUAGCCUGAUACAUCCCUGUUACUUGGUUGAUCACCAGCUGAGAGUCGCUGUUUAUCUCGAGAUCGGUUACUCCCACUUCCAGCGCCAC
This 344-nucleotide long non-coding RNA is filed under the name Manihot esculenta (cassava). RNAcentral describes it as "long non-coding RNA (MESC_LNC004271)". The record is from RNAcentral. Lineage: Eukaryota; Viridiplantae; Streptophyta; Magnoliopsida; Malpighiales; Euphorbiaceae.